Molecule: ribosomal RNA, 253 nt
Filed under: uncultured bacterium
Lineage: Bacteria
Description: partial 16S ribosomal RNA
Rfam family: Bacterial small subunit ribosomal RNA
Source: RNAcentral
UACAGAGGGUGCAAGCGUUGUUCGGAAUUAUUGGGCGUAAAGCGCGUGUAGGCGGUUUCGCAAGUCGGGUGUGAAAGCCCUCAGCUCAACUGAGGAAGUGCGCCCGAAACUGCGGAGCUUGAGUACCGGAGAGGAUGGUGGAAUUCCCCAAGUAGAGGUGAAAUUCGUAGAUAUGGGGAGGAACACCGGUGGCGAAGGCGACCAUCUGGACGGAUACUGACGCUGAGACGCGAAAGCGUGGGGAGCAAACAGG